GCCAGCAGCUAUCACUCUGCAGCUCUCGCCUGGUUGCCCACCGACGCUAAGCAGGGCUGAGCCUGGUCACUACCUGGAUGGGAGACCUCCUGGGAAAACUAGGUUGCUGCUGGAA
This 115-nucleotide ribosomal RNA is filed under the name Sinocyclocheilus rhinocerous. The record is from RNAcentral. Lineage: Eukaryota; Metazoa; Chordata; Actinopteri; Cypriniformes; Cyprinidae.